This 247-nucleotide ribosomal RNA is filed under the name uncultured bacterium. Its description in RNAcentral is "partial 16S ribosomal RNA". It matches the Rfam family "Bacterial small subunit ribosomal RNA", at positions 110 to 354 of the family's 1533-position model. The record is from RNAcentral.
UAAACGCGUGGAUAACCUGCCUUGCACUGGGGGAUAACACUUAGAAAUAGGUGCUAAUACCGCAUAAGCGCACAGAGCCGCAUGGCUCAGUGUAGAAAAACUCCGGUGGUGUAAGAUGGAUCCGCGUCUGAUUAGCUGGUUGGCGGGGGUAGAAGCCCACCAAGGCGACGAUCAGUAGCCGGCCUGAGAGGGUGAACGGCCACAUUGGGGACUGAGACACGGCCCAAACUCCUACGGGAGGCAGCAG